This 718-nucleotide ribosomal RNA is filed under the name Pantoea sp. MBIA2.34. Its description in RNAcentral is "partial 16S ribosomal RNA". It matches the Rfam family "Bacterial small subunit ribosomal RNA", at positions 38 to 746 of the family's 1533-position model. The record is from RNAcentral. Lineage: Bacteria; Pseudomonadati; Pseudomonadota; Gammaproteobacteria; Enterobacterales; Erwiniaceae.
UGCGGCAGCUACACAUGCAGUCGRACGGUAGCACAGAGAGCUUGCUCUYGGGUGACGAGUGGCGGACSGGUGAGUAAUGUCUGGGAAACUGCCCGAUGGAGGGGGAUAACUACUGGAAACGGUAGCUAAUACCGCAUAACGUCUUCSGACCAAAGUGGGGGACCUUCGGGCCUCACACCAUCGGAUGUGCCCAGAUGGGAUUAGCUAGUAGGUGGGGUAAUGGCUCACCUAGGCGACGAUCCCUAGCUGGUCUGAGAGGAUGACCAGCCACACUGGAACUGAGACACGGUCCAGACUCCUACGGGAGGCAGCAGUGGGGAAUAUUGCACAAUGGGCGCAAGCCUGAUGCAGCCAUGCCGCGUGUAUGAAGAAGGCCUUCGGGUUGUAAAGUACUUUCAGCGGGGAGGAAGGCGAUGGAGUUAAUAGCUUCAUCKAUUGACGUUACCCGCAGAAGAAGCACCGGSUGGGGGCGGGGCRGSMRCCGCGGUAAUACGGAGGGUGCAAGCGUUAAUCGGAAUUACUGGGCGUAAAGSCGCGGGGGGGGGGGGUCUGUCAAGUCSGAUGUGAAAUCCCCGGGCUUAACCUGGGAACUGCAUUCKAAASUGGSAGGCUAGAGUCUUGUAGAGGGGGGUAGAAUMYUCGGUGUAGCGGUGAAAWYGCYUAGAGAUCCUGGAGGAAUACCCGGUGGGSAAUGCGACCCCUCGWCUAAGACUGAUCC